AAUUAAGAAAGGCAAACCCUUAGUCAAUUUACGAUCCGAGUUUCAAUCAACCGAUUAAUCAACCGAAACGCUACCUGCUAUGAAUGCCCAAGGAGAGCAAAACGCCGCACGUGUCAGUCAUUUCUGUUCCAACUGGCAGCCAAGGAGUCAGUCCAGUGAUGCUGAGGAGGCUGGAGGUCGUAGAGGAAGGACGAGGACAUGCAGUUGCAAGGCUUGCCGGUUGGAUGAUGAGUGACCUCGUUUCUGCUUCUGCCCAUAAAGACCCAUACUUCUAGGAUGUCCCUUUGAAGACCCAGAGGUCACAGGAAGUUGCAUUUCUUUGAGGGCCAGCAUCUGAGGAAGACAGAGCUCCAUCUUAGUAGAAUCUUUUUUAUUGGCAACAAGCUGUUAUUAUGCACCUUGUGAGCGUGCACUUUUGAUAGUUUUGCAUUGGCUUUACAAAACAUGGCUGGCGCCUGAACUCUUCCUUUGCUGACCAGUCUCAUUUAUCUUACACUUAAUUCUAUGCUAUUUCAAUAAACAAUUUCUGUAUUUU
Molecule: long non-coding RNA, 535 nt
Organism: Polypterus senegalus (gray bichir)
Lineage: Eukaryota; Metazoa; Chordata; Cladistia; Polypteriformes; Polypteridae
Exons: 2
Source: RefSeq, a predicted model, not a curated record